UACGGGGGGGGCAAGCGUUGUUCGGAAUUACUGGGCGUAAAGGGCGAGUAGGCGGCCUUCUAAGUCAGACGUGAAAUCCCCCGGCUUAACCUGGGAACUGCGUCUGAUACUGGGAGGCUCGAGUAUGGGAGAGGGAUGUAGAAUUCCAGGUGUAGCGGUGAAAUGCGUAGAUAUCUGGAGGAAUACCGGUGGCGAAGGCGGCAUCCUGGACCAUUACUGACGCUGAAUCGCGAAAGCUAGGGGAGCAAACGGG
RNAcentral lists this ribosomal RNA (253 nucleotides) under uncultured bacterium. RNAcentral describes it as "partial 16S ribosomal RNA". It matches the Rfam family "Bacterial small subunit ribosomal RNA", at positions 524 to 776 of the family's 1533-position model. The record is from RNAcentral.